AGGAACCUGUCCCGUAAUCGAUAGUCCACGUUUUAUCUUGCUUAAUCUUGUUGUUCAGCUUGUAUACCGCCGUCGUCAGAAUGUCCUUUGAGGGUUAAAAUUUUCUCAAUUUUUAAUUGAAAGUGAUGUCAGGUCAAGGUGCAGUUUAUGGUUAAGAGGAGAUGGGUUACAAUAAAAGUAUUUAUAUGGAUAAUGGGUUGUAAUACUUAUUGGAAGGUGGAUUUGAUUGUAAUUAGUGAUAUUAAAUUAAUUUGAUUUUGGCUCUAAAACAUGCACACAUCGCCCGUCGCUCUUA
Molecule: ribosomal RNA, 295 nt
Filed under: Stenoperla maclellani
Lineage: Eukaryota; Metazoa; Arthropoda; Insecta; Plecoptera; Eustheniidae
Description: partial 12S ribosomal RNA
Source: RNAcentral